CCCGGAAGCGGAAAUGGCAGCGCCCAGGGCGGAGCGGCUCCGGGAGCGGCUCCGGGAGCGGCUCCAGGCCGUACACGUGGAGGUGUCGUGCCCCCCCCCAGCUGUGCCCGGGCAGUUUUCGCCUCGUCGUCGUCUCUGAAAUUUUUCGGGGCCUCAAAACCCUCCAGAGGCACCGGCUCGUUAACGAGGCGCUGGGGGAGGAGCUGGGCCGGAUCCACGCCCUGGAGCACCGGACGCUGACGCCGGAGCAGUGGGAGGAGCAAGGGGGCUCAUUAGCAUAAAUUUGCAUGGAUUUGAAUA
Long non-coding RNA from Corapipo altera (White-ruffed manakin), 300 nucleotides. RefSeq lists it as uncharacterized. NCBI's taxonomy places the organism in Eukaryota, Metazoa, Chordata, Aves, Passeriformes, Pipridae. The transcript has 3 exons. The record is from RefSeq and is a predicted model, not a curated record.